AGACCCUGGAGUGAGUGGAGCUGGAGGGAGGGAAGCUCCCUGGACCCUGGGUGCAGCAGGCAGUGAGGGAAGCCAGGAAGGAGAUGCAGAGGGUGCCACCAGGGAGGGAGGAGACCUCCAGCACGCUUGUCUCUGCCUUCAGGUGGAGCCAGCACUUCUGGGGAAACGGAGCUAUCAACAGUAACAAAGCCUGCUACCAGUCUCGGCGACAUGAGCCCGAGGGACAAUCCAUGUGACGCGGCACCAGGGAUAGCUGCGCUGAUCUGGCAAUGUCUCAGGGCAGCUUGAGUGCAGAGAGCUCGAUGGAGAGCGGCAGAGGAACAACUCGAGAAACUCUUUCCAAUGGCCCUUUUCUUUUUCUGGAGGGAACAGAUGGUGGCGAGAGUUGGGCCUGGGUCAAGGGAAGUUUUUAUAUUCGUUUGUUCUGUUCUAAGAAGGAAGCUGCAGCAACAAGUGCCCUGCUGGUGGAUGAUGCAGGAGAGAGAGAAAAAGCUGCUGAUUGGGGGAGAGGGGGCCGCAUGCUCAAGCCGUGUGCGUGGUCUGGCCCAGUGGAGGCGCUGAUAAAGGGGUUGCAGUGUGGGUGGGCCAGAGAGGACCAGGGAGGGCAGGUGGCUGGCAUCCAGGGGAAACUGCAGGGCUGCAGGUGGCAGAAAGUGACACAGCCUGGGGCAACCUUCUCUGUCUGCUCAGGGAGGAGGGAGGGAGUGAUUCAGCAAAAUUUAGGAGGACAAGCAGGAGGCGGAAAGUUGUCUGACUGCUUGGAAGCUGACUGCACAUAGUCAUCAGAGGGACAAAGUCUUGUUAUAUGGUCCAGGCCUUGGGUACCACGUGCAGUCCCUCACCCUUCCGCUCUGGCGGAACUAAUCAGCUUUCCUGUGGCACACCCUUCCACCAUGAUGCUGCUGCCUCAGAGCCGUGGACUGAAUCUCCUGAACUGCUAUGUGGAAGCAGAUGCCCAGAGGAGCCCACCUGCUGCCAACCCUUUGACUUAGGAAGCAAUCGCCCAGCUGCAGCCCUGGGCUGAGAGGGAGUGUGCUGGGCUCUCGCCUGGGGUCACUGGUGGCGACAGCAUUUCCCUGAAGCACCAGGUGAUAUCCAGGCGAUGGAUGAGGCAGCUCUUUCUCUCCUGGUGGGUAGCAGCCCUCGGUGGGGAAGGUGUCAGAUUCCCCCACCCUCGCUCCUUUUCAGCUGGUUGCCGUAGGCCUGCUGCUCCAGUGGGAAAGUCUGUCCACCAGUCUCCUCCCCCGUGCCAGGGACAGCAAAACAAGAUGCGGAAAACAAAGCCCAGAGAAGUGACAUAAUUUACCCAGAGAUGCACAGCUAGGAGACACACACCUGGAACUCAAACACAGUAAAGUGAUUCUCCAGCCUUUUGAACCGUGGAACCACAUUGCCUUCCUUCAGCAAAACAGCCUAACCAUGGCUGCCUUCUAUGGAGUCUUUGGGUCUUUGAUGAAUAUGUGAGAAAGUCACAAAAAGACUUCAAAAUGCCACCCAAGUAUUGUCCUUUGGAGUUGGGCCUCUGAUGUUCUCCCUCACACCCUGUUCUCAAGCCACAUCAAACCCCUCAGUCCAUCUUUACUUGCCACAGGGCCUUUGUGUGCCCUGUUUCCUACUCUGACAGCCAAACUUCUGCACUGCCUUGAGGUAGUCCUGCCCAUUCUGAAACCAUGGGUGAUAUGUUUCUUCCUUUCUUAGAGCAUGAUCGGAAUACUCCAUUCCAAUUUGGGCCAACCUUAUCAGCCCGUGUUGAUUGGAGCAUUGGAUAGGUGCAUAGGUUACAGAUUCAGACUCCCUGGCCCAUACUUGGCCUCUACCACUCACCACUUAUGUGUAACCAUGCUGAAGUGAUUUUACUCUUGGUGCCUUAGUGUUUCCAUCUGUAAAAGGGGUCUGAUAGUGGUGUUACUUGCUCUCACAGGCUGUUCUAAAGAUGCAGGAGAGGUUCCUGGAAAGCAGGGUUAAAAGAUUGUCUGGACUUCCCUUACCACCGACCUGCCUUAUCCCCUCAGGUGUGGUCACGGAAAUAAGGAUGCUGUUGCAGAAUCUCCUCUUUUGAUGCUUCUUGGAGGCCUGGAAGAGUGACCUGGCCAGGGUCCUGACUGUGUAGAUUCUCUCUGAAAGGAAUCCCUAGGUAAACACUUCAAGGGUCACAGAAACGAGUGAUUCUCAGAUCUGGCAGGUCCCAGACUUCAGGAUAUAGUCUAAUCUCACAGAGCACACUUCGGAGCAGGGGGUGGAGAUGAGGUCUUCUCCAGCCAACACACAGUGGACUCUGCACGUGGGCCAGCAGUGUAGUCCAGUCCACACGCACACACACACACACACACACACACACACACACACACACCCAGGCCGUAGUCCCUGCCUCAUUAAGUGUCCCCUGGUCUUUGCCACAAGAACAGUACUGUGCCCUGUUUUUGUUUUGUUUGACUUUGCUUUGCUUGAGAUAUAUUUUUUUUUGUCUUUUUCAUUUUUACCGGUACCGGGGAUCGAACUCAUGACCGCCUGCUUGCAAGGCAGGUGCUUAUGCCGCUGAGCUAAACCUCCAGCCCCUUUGCUUGAGAUAUUAACUGUGUUCUCUUUGGCCUGAGAUCUGGGGUCGUCUCCCUGGCUACAAAAGAACAGAGUGCUGAGUUAAAGGCCACCCUGGCUCUUUGAGAUGACUGGUGUGAAGCUGUGUGUGUGUGUGUGUGUGUGUGUGUGUGUGUGUGUGCGCGCGCGCGCCCAUACCUGAAUCCCAUCCAGUGAUUCCCCACCACACAUGCACACAUGCAUGUGCACACACACACACAUGUGUGCUCACACAGGCACACUCAGCCAGGCACACACCCUCUUUGUCACAGCCACCUCUGCUCUGCGUCUCUGCCAUCAUCUCCUUCUGUGCUCUCCAGCUCUUCUGUUUGCCUUGUGAAAACUUCGGAUUCUUUCCGAACCUACCGACUGCCGCAUUCCCACGGUGUCCCCAUUCCUUUCUGGUUCCUGAGCCUCCCACUGUCUCUAGCCCAGCAUGCAGGAUGCCCAGAGAUGCUCCACCCUGUAAAUUGAGGGGCGAGGUCACUGCCGCCAGCAAGGUUUGCAGCUAUGGGGUUGAACUUCACUCUGUCCACUGCUGGGAGACGGAGGCUGUGGCUCUGGGGUGCCAUCCCCUCAACCGAACUCUGGGCCUGAGUCUGUGAUGUCCUCCUACACCUCUCAUUCCCAUUCCUGCCUCCUCUCUGCUUACUGACUCCUCUCCUUCUUAGAUCCUCCCAGAUGUCCCCUCCUCUGGGCAGCCUUCCCAGAUCCCCAGUCUUAGCAGUGCCACCUUGGGUGUCACAGAGGCCUCAGCUUCCCUACAGCAGCGCUCAGUGUACCAGAUCAUAAUUGCCGAACGGUGGCUCGCCGUGGCUUUCUCCCCACACUGUUCCAGAUCUGGAAUACAGGAGGCCUGCAACUCAUCUUUUUUUUAUUAAGUGAGUGAUGGAAAUAACUGUUUUCCCCAGUGAAACAUGAUUUGUGUGAUUCUGGGUGAUUUUCCAGAAGGUUUCCCCAGUCCGCCUCUGGCCCCAGAGGCGGCCACCCCAGCUCAUAGCCUCCUGGUUCACGCUGCAGCCAUCAGUCGCACUCAACUGGUGAGGAAGUGGCUGAGUGUUCCAUCUUCCCGGUGAGCUGGGUUCAGAGCACAAAACCUCCAUAGGUUUGGCAGGCAGAGGGGGCUGUGUUCUAGGGGCCAAGCUGCUCCUCUAAAAUGGUAAGACUGCCACGGCCCUGCUCCCUGAGCUGACAGAAGCCGGAGAGCGGGCUCCACACCGUUCUCUCUGCUGGGGGCCGUGGGAGGCCACAGGCCAUCGGUUUGUGUUUCAGCAGCUCCUUUGGGCCUCACAGACCAGGGAGGGUUUGGUCUUAGGAGAAAUUUUUCUUUUAUGGAAUCAGGCAAGGUUUCAGCGUGUUGCUAUCCAGACACUGCCUUUUCUAGAGACCUUUCAUGAUGUAUUUUUACCUAAGAACUGCGUCAGAACCUGGCAGGUUGUAUUUUCCAAGAAAAAAUGGUUGUGCAAGGAAGGUAGAAGGAAGCUGUGGGCGUCCCGAGGUGUGACCAUAAGUGGGCGCAGUCUCUUCCUGGAGCACCCUCUCCUUGCCCUCGCCUCCCACCCGCAGCGUCUCUCUGUGUCUGCCCCCUUGUGAAGACCCUCUGUGUUGCUACGGGGAAUCCACCUCGGCAGGCUGAGAGGCCACCAAGGGGAGCCACGCCCCAGAGCUCUGGCUGCAGUCAGUGCUCAGCGCCGACGAGGAGAUGUGGUCCACACAGGGAGGCGUCCAGGUUCCAGCUGCGACGCCUGCCCCUGAGGAACAGAGACAGGCCAUUCCCACCUGGCUCAGCUUGGAAUUCCAGGCCCUCAGAUCCUCUGAGCAGCCACAUGGAGCCUAGAUUUGAGGUAGUUGGUUAGGAAACCACAGUAAAAGAAAUAAGAGCAAGCCACAGAUACAUGGAGAUACAAAGAAACCGUGACUGCUUAGGGACUGGUUACGGAAUCACCAACCUCGUACCUCUGUGUAAGCAAGGGCUUUGAAGACAGAACUCAUCAGCUAAGCGGGACUCUCCACGGUGACCACCUUAAAGCCCUCCGGUGAGGAGUCACCCCAUCUGAUAGGUGAAGAAACAGAAGCCCAGAAAGACCCACCAAUUGAUUAUGCAGAGACUCACUCACAUCCAGGUGUACAAAAUACUGGCCCUGGGAUCUCCAUAAUAAUGUGCGUGUUCUCUGCUGGCGAGAACAGUAAA
Long non-coding RNA from Cavia porcellus (domestic guinea pig), 4765 nucleotides. RefSeq lists it as uncharacterized. NCBI's taxonomy places the organism in Eukaryota, Metazoa, Chordata, Mammalia, Rodentia, Caviidae. The transcript has 6 exons. The record is from RefSeq and is a predicted model, not a curated record.